Molecule: ribosomal RNA, 422 nt
Filed under: uncultured bacterium
Lineage: Bacteria
Description: partial 16S ribosomal RNA
Rfam family: Bacterial small subunit ribosomal RNA
Source: RNAcentral
UCUUCGGCAAUGGACACAAGUCUGACCGAGCAACGCCGCGUGAGUGAAGAAGGUUUUCGGAUNGUAAAACUCUGUUGUUAGAGAANNCCNNNGNUGAGAGUAGAAUGUUCAUCCCUUGACGGUAUCUAACNNNANCNCCACGGCUAACUACGUGCCAGCAGCCGCGGUAAUACGUAGGUGGCAAGCGUUGUCCGGAUUUAUUGGGCGUAAAGCGAGCGCAGGCGGUUUCUUAAGUCUGAUGUGAAAGCCCCCGGCUCAACCGGGGAGGGUCAUUGGAAACUGGGAAACUUGAGUGCAGAAGAGGAGAGUGGAAUUCCAUGUGUAGCGGUGAAAUGCGUAGAUAUAUGGAGGAACACCAGUGGCGAAGGCGGCUCUCUGGUCUGUAACUGACGCUGAGGCUCGAAAGCGUGGGGAGCAAACAG